GAUAGCUCUACGAUCUGACCUGCGGAGGGAUCAUUA
This 36-nucleotide ribosomal RNA is filed under the name Dothideomycetes sp. 5 GS-2016. RNAcentral's name for it is "partial 18S ribosomal RNA". The record is from RNAcentral. Lineage: Eukaryota; Fungi; Ascomycota; Dothideomycetes.